Molecule: long non-coding RNA, 702 nt
Filed under: Mytilus galloprovincialis (Mediterranean mussel)
Lineage: Eukaryota; Metazoa; Mollusca; Bivalvia; Mytilida; Mytilidae
Source: RNAcentral
AUCAUAAUGAAGUAGUGACGACGCUCGGAGUAUUUUUAUGAGGUCGUUUUCUGAAUUUUUCGUUUCUGUUCUCUACCUUUAGUUUGCUUCAACCAAAUGUUAUAAAAUUUAUACGUAAUGCUUUAUAAUGGUUUAUAUUUAUGCAAGAGGGGGCAUCAUCAUGUCCCAUGGACACAUUCCUUCAAACUCAGAGUCUUGUACAUGUAUUAGUACACAAGUAUGACCAAAUUUAAACACCUACCCUUCCAACUGAUAGUUGUGGGCAUAAAAGUUAAGGGACGACAUCAAAAGUUCAAUGUAGGAUAAAAAACCCAACUUAAUUCACAUAGUUUGUUCACUGACCCCCUCCCCCCUCUUAACUUAAUUUGGGAAAAAUUUGAUUGACCAAUAUGGAUAUAUGUAAAAUCGAUGUCAAAUUAAUAAAAACUUGCAGCAACUUUUAUCCCCCCCCCCAAACUAUUUGAAUUCAGUUUUUUUUUAUCCUACAUUGAUCUUUUGAUGUCAUCCCUAAGUUAAUCACUGUUUUCUCUCAUUGACUAUGGUCAGUCCCAAAGUGUUACAAGACAACAAGAUUCUUUGUAAAAGGAUGCUAUUAAAGAUGACUCUCUUCUUUGGAGAUCAACAAACAAAAUAUUUUUGUGUUUUACAGAAAUGACAAGAUGAACACAUAAUGCCCAUUUCCGUAAAAACGAGUUCGGGGAC